CAAGUUAAGUUCUAGGAAUGUUGUUAUUUACGAUAAUGAUUAAGUUUGUGCAAAUCAAUCUGGCUUGA
RNAcentral lists this transfer RNA (68 nucleotides) under Molipteryx fuliginosa. RNAcentral's name for it is "tRNA-Val". RNAcentral also lists the same sequence under 1 other name. The record is from RNAcentral. Lineage: Eukaryota; Metazoa; Arthropoda; Insecta; Hemiptera; Coreidae.